This 481-nucleotide ribosomal RNA is filed under the name Bacillus sp. (in: firmicutes). Its description in RNAcentral is "bacterial SSU rRNA". It matches the Rfam family "Bacterial small subunit ribosomal RNA", at positions 39 to 493 of the family's 1533-position model. Lineage: Bacteria; Bacillati; Bacillota; Bacilli; Caryophanales; Bacillaceae. The record is from RNAcentral.
CGGUAACACGGAUAAGCCGUAAUCAUGCAUGUCGAGCGAAUGGAUUGAGAGCUUGCUCUCAAGAAGUUAGCGGCGGACGGGUGAGUAACACGUGGGUAACCUGCCCAUAAGACUGGGAUAACUCCGGGAAACCGGGGCUAAUACCGGAUAAUAUUUUGAACUGCAUGGUUCGAAAUUGAAAGGCGGCUUCGGCUGUCACUUAUGGAUGGACCCGCGUCGCAUUAGCUAGUUGGUGAGGUAACGGCUCACCAAGGCAACGAUGCGUAGCCGACCUGAGAGGGUGAUCGGCCACACUGGGACUGAGACACGGCCCAGACUCCUACGGGAGGCAGCAGUAGGGAAUCUUCCGCAAUGGACGAAAGUCUGACGGAGCAACGCCCCGUGAGUGAUGAAGGCUUUCGGGUCGUAAAACUCUGUUGUUAGGGAAGAACAAGUGCUAGUUGAAUAACCUGGCACCUUGACGUACCUAACCAGAAAGCCA